ACAGAGGCCUCGAGCGUUAGGCGGAAUCACUGGGCUUAAAGCGUGUGUAGGCGGAUCGUUAAGUGUCUUGUGAAAUCCCACGGCUCAACCGUGGAACUGCUGGGCAUACUGGCGAUCUUGGGCCAUUCAGGGGCGACUGGAACAAGCGGUGGAGCGGUGAAAUGCGUAGAUAUCGCUUGGAACGCCGAAGGUGAAAACAGGUCGCUGGGGAUGUGCCGACGCUGAGACACGAAAGCCAGGGGAGCAAACGGGA
RNAcentral lists this ribosomal RNA (253 nucleotides) under uncultured prokaryote. RNAcentral describes it as "partial 16S ribosomal RNA". It matches the Rfam family "Bacterial small subunit ribosomal RNA", at positions 525 to 777 of the family's 1533-position model. The record is from RNAcentral.